CCUACGGGAGGCAGCAGUGGGGAAUUUUGCGCAAUGGGCGAAAGCCUGACGCAGCAACGCCGCGUGCGGGAUGAAGGCCUUCGGGUUGUAAACCGCUUUCAGCAGGGAUGAAAUUGACAGUACCUGCAGAAGAAGCCCCGGCUAACUACGUGCCAGCAGCCGCGGUAAUACGUAGGGGGCAAGCGUUAUCCGGAUUCAUUGGGCGUAAAGAGCGCGUAGGCGGAUUGUUAAGCGCGAUGUGAAAACUGGGGGCUCAACCCGCAGCCUGCAUCGCGAACUGGCAGUCUUGAGUCUGGUAGAGGAGUGUGGAAUUCCCAGUGUAGCGGUGAAAUGCGCAGAUAUUGGGAGGAACACCGGUGGCGAAGGCGGCACUCUGGGCCACGACUGACGCUGAGGCGCGAAAGCUAGGGGAGCGAACAGGAUUAGAUACCCUGGUAGUCCUAGCCGUAAACGAUGGGCACUAGGUGUGGGGGUAGUAACGUCCCUCCGUGCCGCNGCUACGACAUAGUGCCCGCCGUCGGAGGACGGCCGCGACGACGUAAACUACAACGAAGUAGACGGCGUGAGACGUGCCGACGGACGACGACGAGGGAGGUAGG
This 599-nucleotide ribosomal RNA is filed under the name uncultured bacterium. RNAcentral describes it as "bacterial SSU rRNA". The stretch from base 1 to 516 matches the Rfam family "Bacterial small subunit ribosomal RNA", at positions 338 to 873 of the family's 1533-position model. The record is from RNAcentral.